GGAGGGCGAUGAUAGGCACUUUGUCCCAAUCCCAGUGUUAUUAUCGUGCGCUAAUCAUUUUGAAGUAUUGUUUCGAGCUCAGUCAUAAAAUUGGCAGCGGAUCAUUCGGAGAGAUCUACACCGGUGGACUACUCGCUAAUUGGUACUCGAUUUUUUCUUUAUUUGUUUUGCUUUUAGAUUGAUUUUGAUUGAAGUUUUCCAUGGAUUAUUUUUAGGUACUAACACUCAAACGAACGAGAAGGACGAGACUAAGCUUGUGAGUCACUAACUGAUACUUGGUUUUUGCUCCAUGCGUUCUACUUUUUCUAGUUUUUGCUCGUUUUAGUUACUUUAGUAUUGUUAUAGUCAUUCCAUUGAUAUUUUGUUGAUUUAAUAUUUUGACGUAUUAUUUUGACGUUCUAUGAGGCGAUAUGGACUGUGGCUUGUUCUGUUUUUUUUUUUCUUGGGUCAUUUGAUUGACGUAGAUAAUGUUCACUUGCUUCCAAUAAGUCAUGGAUGCUAACUUCCAUACAUUAGAAUGAUUAUUAUUAACAAGUGGAAGCUUUCCUCAGUUUGUGGCAUUCACAUGCAUGAGAAAAUUGUCAAAAAGUCGUAAAUCUAUUGCUUUUUUAUAAUCUAAUUAUAAACAUUUUAAUUUUACUAAUUAAAUCCUAAAAUUUUCAUAUUUUGUUAAUUGAGUCUACCUUGUCAAUUUUAAUCGAAAUCGUUGACUUAGACAAAUUUUAAUAAUAUGUAGAUGUUUUUUCGAAAUUUUAAAUUUUUCCUUUUUUCUUUUCUCUCUUCUCCUUCUUUCCCUUCUUUUUACUUUUUUUUUCUUCUUCCUUUCCCCCUUUCCCCCUCCGCUAGUCACCAUUGGGCCUCGUUGAUAGCUCGUGGAGUUUGGCAGCCUCACAAGAGGGCCACAAUCGUUGGCCUCAAGCGAGGGAUGCCUGGGCUGGAUUGGCAAGGAUCGAGCGACCCUUCACGG
RNAcentral lists this long non-coding RNA (967 nucleotides) under Eucalyptus grandis. Its description in RNAcentral is "long non-coding RNA (EGRA_LNC002582)". Lineage: Eukaryota; Viridiplantae; Streptophyta; Magnoliopsida; Myrtales; Myrtaceae. The record is from RNAcentral.